CCAAUUGAAAUGAUGAGGUUUUCAUGUCUCUUCUCUGACAAAUCCUGGAGACACUUAAAACUUCUGAUCUCAAAAACUGU
RNAcentral lists this small nucleolar RNA (80 nucleotides) under Astyanax mexicanus (Mexican tetra). Its description in RNAcentral is "Small nucleolar RNA SNORD111 (ENSAMXG00000039516.1)". The record is from RNAcentral. Lineage: Eukaryota; Metazoa; Chordata; Actinopteri; Characiformes; Acestrorhamphidae.